UAUUACCAUGCAAGCGACGGCGGUGUGAAGGUCAGACUGAAGAUCUUACCUGACAAGCCGAGAGGUAGUGCAUGGAGACCGACAGCUCGUGGUGUGAACUGUCCGGUUAAGUCCGGUAAGUCUAUGAGUGAUGCAAUGACACAAAAACUAAGACUAACGCCUGAUACAAGCUACAUGCUUGGAAUAUUCAGGUGCAACAGGGGAAAGCGUAUUGAACUCGUCUCAAGCUAUGAUGAUUUGAUUGCAAGGUUUGCCAAGCUCGCAAUGGACGAGUUUGGCAUAGAGCCAAACAAGAUAAUCAUCGAUAGCGAGGGCAAGGUCAAGAAAACUUUCUUCUACAACUCCACGAUGGUGAAAAGGUUUGAUAAGGCGCUUGAAAGAAGAGUAAACAUAUUCAAGUACGCCAACGCAUAUUCCGGAAACUAUUUCGCUGCGCUGUUCGACUGCAACGGAGGAAAAGAUGGCAAAGGCAUCUUUCUGAGGGGCACGGACGACGCUGACGAGAUGGUGCUCGAAAGGCUAAACAUACACACGGAUAAAAGAGGAAGCAAAAUCUAUUUUGCGAAUCCUGCUCCGUUCAUAACGCUAAUAAAAGAUUACAGCCUUAGAAUUGCGAGCAUUAUUCAUUGACCCGGAAACGAGCGAGACCCUCGCUUACAGUUGCCACCGGCUUAGAGAUAAGCCGAGCACUCUGUUAGGACCGCCUCUGUUUAAAGAGGAGGAAGGAGAGGGCGACGAUACGUCAGUAUGCUCUGAAUCUUCUGGGCUACACGCGGCAUACAAAGGUCGGCACAAUGAGGUGCAACACCGAAAGGUGAAGCCAAUCCCCUAAAACCGGCUGAAGUUGGGAUUGAGGGCUGAAACUCGCCCUCAUGAAGCUGGAAUCCCUAGUAAUCGCUUGUCACUAUCGAGCGGUGAAUACGUCCCU
Molecule: ribosomal RNA, 928 nt
Filed under: uncultured bacterium
Lineage: Bacteria
Description: partial 16S ribosomal RNA
Rfam family: Archaeal small subunit ribosomal RNA
Source: RNAcentral